This 161-nucleotide ribosomal RNA is filed under the name Anopheles funestus (African malaria mosquito). RNAcentral's name for it is "5.8S ribosomal RNA". It matches the Rfam family "5.8S ribosomal RNA". From Rfam's summary of the family: 5.8S ribosomal RNA (5.8S rRNA) is a component of the large subunit of the eukaryotic ribosome. The record is from RNAcentral. Lineage: Eukaryota; Metazoa; Arthropoda; Insecta; Diptera; Culicidae.
AACCCUAGCAGGGGAUCAAUCGGCUCAAUGGAUCGAUGAAGACCGCAGCUAAAUGCGCGUCACAAUUGUGAACUGCAGACACAUGAACACCGGAUAAGUUUAACGCAUAUUGCGCGUCGGACGAUUAAACCCGGCCGAAUGCACACAAUUCUUGAGUGCCU